Molecule: long non-coding RNA, 1081 nt
Organism: Photinus pyralis (common eastern firefly)
Lineage: Eukaryota; Metazoa; Arthropoda; Insecta; Coleoptera; Lampyridae
Exons: 3
Source: RefSeq, a predicted model, not a curated record
UAUAGUAAUAACGGAAGAAUAAUUUACAAAUUUUUUUUAUCUGGGGUGAAAUUCUUAUACGUGACUAAUGAUAUCGAAUGUACGUAAAUAUUUAUUUACAUGUGAGAGUAAUGCAACUUUGUAUUGAGACGUAAGCUAAAAAGCAAAAAAUUUACUCCUGGAAGCACUAGUUUGUUAUGUGUAAAUUUAAUAAGGCGUUAAUUAAAUGAUGCACUUCAUCAAUUGGUUUCGGUUUCAAGGUAGCUACUUUUUACGUGUUUUACAAAUCGAUGUAAUGUAAGAAACAGGUAUUUUUUAUUAGUUUAUGUGUUCAUUCAUUUAGAGGGUGAGUUAAAACACCUAAACAUCCCUAAAAUACACCGCCAGAAAGAACUUGUGUUGUUUCGAGAGGAGCAAAAAUCAAAAUCCUCUAUAGGUACAUGUGAAAGCCUUGAGGUACCUAUUGGCAAAUUUACCGCAAAUGCCAUGGUCGAACAGGGUGGUAUUCCCAUUCGGAGAACACGUGUAAUAAAAAUGACUGGAAGAUCAUUCACUCGUAUUUCCAUCGUGCAAGUAGAAGAAUGCCGAAAUUUGGUUAAGUGCCAUUGAAAUGGUAUAGUAGACUCAUUCUAAAUAAUUUUUAGCCAUUUGCUUUUCCAAAUGAAAGAGAAAAUAGUCAACACUUUGGCACCAUUGGCAUCUCUGAAAGGAUCGUUACAUGAGCUUUCGGGAAAUACUUAUCAAUCACCGUCGUCUUGCUUGCUUGGGGUGUUUUCUGGUAUCACCUAUUCGCCAUUGUAUUACCGCUUCCAUUAGAAUUGUCUGAAGCAACCGCUUGAUAAUGGUCGAAUGAACGCUGCCCAUUCUGCCUCGCUCUCAACCGAUACUGAUGAGGAUAAUCCGAACCCGAAGAUGGGUGUGGGAAUUGGAAACAAAAGUGGAAAAGUACUAAAGGUGGUUGGACUGGUCACCGUUAAUGCCCAUUGAUCGCCUUUUCCGAUCUCCAGGGCGGGAGUGGAUCAAUUCUAUCCCAGAACCCACAAGAGAUGUAUAUUAUUAUAUUUAUUAUUAUUUAAAAAAUGUAGAUCUUUAAAAUGUCUUG